Molecule: long non-coding RNA, 1086 nt
Filed under: Coturnix japonica (Japanese quail)
Lineage: Eukaryota; Metazoa; Chordata; Aves; Galliformes; Phasianidae
Description: lncRNA (ENSCJPG00005015333.1)
Source: RNAcentral
AUGCCGCCCUGCCCUGCCCGCUGCCCGUCGCACUGCGCUGCCGGCCCCGCUGGCGGGCUGAGCUCCGUUCCUCGGGCCCUACGCGUGGUGCCAGCAGCGGGGCACGUCGGGCCCCUCGUGCCGACGGGCAGAGCCGGGGCGGGCAGAGCUGAGCCGAGCCCCGCUCGGGCGGGGAGGAGCCGGCGGCGGGAAGUGAGCUCAGGCGCACAGGAAAUCCCGCCCGCGCCGCGGCCUGUGUUUGCGCUGCGGGCAGAGAAAGGAGCCGAGCCCCGCAGCGGCCCAGCCGAGCAGCCGCCCGCCCCGUGCCCAGCCAUGUCGGACCAGGUACGCGGACGGCCCCGGCCGCGGGGGGAGCGGCGCCACGAAGCCCCGCGGUCCCGCCGCCGGCCGGGAACCGCUCCCUCCGCGCCCCCCCGACCCCCCCGGCAUCAUCCCCUGCAGACGGCGGGGCCGAGCGGGGCGGGGGUGUCCCGUCGGGGAGCGCGAUGGGGGAGGGGGGAACGGCUCCGGCCUCGGUCGGACUCCGCGUCCUGCCCCGCUCCGUCCCCGCUGAGGGUGAAUCCCCCCAUCCCGCCCCGCUCGGGGCGCUCUCCUCGCGUUAGGGGGAAGGGGCGGCUCGGGAUGGGGGCGGCGCGCGGCAGCUGCUGGUUUCCUUUCGCUGCCCGUUGUUGCGGUGGGAUGCUGCUCCCCGCAGCGGGCUGGGCCGAGCUUGCCGAGGGCUCCCUUAGGAACGAGGACGGGGGGGCGGCGGGGGUGAACUCUGACUUGCCCGGUUCGGCGUUGUUUGCACGUAUGAAACAUCCGGUCCUUCACCCAGACCCUGUUUUGCCUCCGCUGGUACGCGGUGAUGUUGUCAAUUCUGACCCGUCAGCCGGAGACUUCAAUAGUUCCUUGUACGGCAAGUUCUUGGCUCGCUCGGCAGGCACACACACACACACACACACACACACACACAGCCCUUUGCUCGCAUCCGUCGCGUUGGGCUGUGUGACCUGCUGCCUGGGAGCUACGACAGCGCUCCAGUUCCAAUCUGUGCUCUGUUUGACUGCGUCGUUUAUAGUACUUUCAUAUGUCAGUGUUUUCUAA